GUCUAAUUGAUUAUAUAAAUAAUUGUAAAACUGCAGUACGACAAGAAAAUAGAGCUGGAUCAUUCAUAAUGAGAGUUGUAAGCUGGUAAUAAAAAACAACUACAAGACAAAAAAUAUUGGUAAAUCAUGACACCAAAGCAACAAUUGAUCUUCACUCAGUACACAUUUAACUGGUAGAAUUACAAGUCUUGCACAUUCAAACCUGCAAAAGUGAAACAUAUACGUAAGUAGGAUGACCUAAACUCAAAUUUCUACAUCUUGAUGAUCAAUUCAUAAGUUAUUCCUAGCAGUGGGAGAAAAACAACAGAAACCCUAUGAAAUGGAAGAGCAUGCAAUAUUCUCCCAUAUCUAUUUGGCCAUUACACAAUCCUAUUAUUUACUUUUAUAGAUUCCAUUUUAAAAAAUUAUUACAAAUUUAAGGUUCCAACCUAUAACAACCAACAGAAAUAAACAAUUAUGCAAUUCACUCGCCGCACAUAGAGUUGAAAAGUACUUGCACAUCCAUAACAUAUGACCAAAGAUAAUUCUCAACAACUAACCUGGAGGAAGUGAUUGCUUCAACUUAUCAGCUUUCUCAGUAUCAAACACACAAAGUGUGUACAAGUACUUGGAGCAUCGAACCUUGAACUUGACAACAUCUUUGCUUCUCUUGAUUUUCACGGAGCGUGCAUCCUUCCUCCUAGCAGUUAGGAGGAAGUCCUUAAUCUCGUUGAUUUGCUUAGGCUACAUUUCAAUAAAAUGAACCAUUUUCAAAUCACAGUACAGAAAUCCAAAUAAAUAAAAAAUAAAAAUUGAACAAUCAAAACAAAGCAUUUUCAUUCCCUAUAUCAACUACCAAGUUUGAAAAUCAAAACCCAUAAAUUCCCUAACUCAGAUCAGUGUAUACUAAACUCCAUUGUUUCAAUUUCAUGGUUCAAAUAGACCUAAAAUUGAGUAAAUAAAAUUCAUAGGAGCAAAAAAUCAAAUUAUCUAAGCUAAUCAUGAAUCAAAUACAAUGAAAAUCAAAAUAGGAUAAUGUUAAGAUUCUUCCAAUUUCCUACAAAAAAUUGUGAAUUGAAAGAAAUAUACACAAACAAUGCAAAGAAUCAAUGGAGAUAGAGAAAAGUACCAUUUUUUGUCUUCGCUGCGAUUUCCUCUUCCUCCCCAAAAAUC
This 1152-nucleotide long non-coding RNA is filed under the name Medicago truncatula (barrel medic). RNAcentral's name for it is "lncRNA gene23610". The record is from RNAcentral. Lineage: Eukaryota; Viridiplantae; Streptophyta; Magnoliopsida; Fabales; Fabaceae.